This 774-nucleotide ribosomal RNA is filed under the name uncultured Neocallimastigales. RNAcentral describes it as "partial large subunit ribosomal RNA". It matches the Rfam family "Eukaryotic large subunit ribosomal RNA", at positions 26 to 616 of the family's 3401-position model. The record is from RNAcentral. Lineage: Eukaryota; Fungi; Neocallimastigomycota; Neocallimastigomycetes; Neocallimastigales.
CGCAUCUGUGCAUGCAGCAUAUCAAUAAGCGGAGGAAAAGAAACUAACAAGGAUUCCCCUAGUAACGGCGAGUGAAGCGGGAAGAGCUCAAAUUUGAAAUCUUAAAGGGUUUCCCUUUACGAAUUGUAGUUUAAAGAAGUGUUUUCUGUUGAGGUUUUGGUAAAAGUUCUUUGGAAUAGGACAUCAUAGAGGGUGAGAAUCCCGUAUUUGACCUUUACUUUCAACUUUGUGAUACACUUUCAAAGAGUCGGAUUGUUUGGGAAUGCAGUCCAAAAUGGGUGGUAAAUUUCAUCUAAAGCUAAAUAUUGGCGAGAGACCGAUAGCGAACAAGUACCGUGAGGGAAAGAUGAAAAGAACUUUGAAAAGAGAGUUAAACAGUACGUGAAAUUGUCAAAAGGGAAGCGUUUGACACCAGUGUUGUUUUUCUGAAAAUCAAUUAAAGAACUGUUUAUGCUAAGUUGUUUAGACUUUAUCAGCUAACUGCUUAGUUUUGAGCUUUUCUUUAAUGCACUUUUCAGUUAACAAGUCAACAUCAAUUUCUUUUGCUGUAAAAAAGCUUGAGGAAGGUGGCUUGAGAUUCGUCUUAAGUGUUUAUAGCCUCUUGCCUAUGCAGUCGGAGAGAUUGAGGUCUGCAGCGUAGAUCCUUCGGGGCUAAAUGCAUUUGUGCUAAGUUAUAGCAUUUUAUAGACAACUUGUUGACUAUGAUUUGUCUUGUAGCUUACUCGCUUAUGUUAUUUUACCUACGCUUAGGAUGUUGAGCGCAUGUCUCUCUCU